GCCAACUUCCUUAACAAACUUUCCAACGAAAAUGACAGCCAAUUAUGACGUGGGCAGAUACCGUAUAUAAAAUUAAUGAAAUUCAUUUCCAAUUCUCACUUCCAGUGGUCUAUAAUUAGUUUUUAAGUCAGUAUAGUUUUUAAAUUCGUAAAUUUUUUAUUCAUGCAUUAAAUAAUGCAAGCAAUGACAUAUUCCACUUUUACAGUACUUCUGACUAUUAAAGCUGUUAGUUUUGUAGUUUUGAAUUUACAUGUAUGCUAUUUUUAUGAUAUUUAGAAUGUCACGAAAAGCUAUCAGUAUUGUUCAUGGUGGUAAACGAAACUCUGGAUGCUAUAUUUGGAGAUGUUGAUAACAUUUCCCCAAGACUAGAUAUAUUAUCAACUCUUUAUUUCCCUUGGCACUACUUAAUGUGACACCAGUAUAUUUCCAGAAUGACAUUCCUGUCAAAUUAUUUUUAGAGAUGAAAAUAGGCUACAAAGUUCUUUGUAAACAUUAAUGCAAAACUCAACAGAGUAACCUGAAAUCAAAUGUGUGGCUAAACAAGCAUUUAUUCAUGUUUGAACUGUUUUUUUACAUUUUUGUUUGAGUUAUGAACAUUAUAAAUUGAAGUACAAUU
Molecule: long non-coding RNA, 616 nt
Filed under: Amphimedon queenslandica
Lineage: Eukaryota; Metazoa; Porifera; Demospongiae; Haplosclerida; Niphatidae
Description: uncharacterized LOC109591835
Source: RNAcentral